Molecule: ribosomal RNA, 253 nt
Filed under: uncultured bacterium
Lineage: Bacteria
Description: partial 16S ribosomal RNA
Rfam family: Bacterial small subunit ribosomal RNA
Source: RNAcentral
UACAGAGGUCUCAAGCGUUGUUCGGAUUCAUUGGGCGUAAAGGGCGCGUAGGCGGUGAAGUAAGUCUGGUGUGAAAUCUAGGAGCUUAACUCCUAAACUGCACUGGAUACUGUUUUGCUUGAGGACUGGAGAGGAGACUGGAAUUCAUGGUGUAGCAGUGAAAUGCGUAGAGAUCAUGAGGAAGACCAGUGGCGAAGGCGGGUCUCUGGACAGUUCCUGACACUGAGACACGAAGGCCAGGGGAGCAAACGGG